GGGUCAGCUGUCCUGGGUCUGUCCCCUCCCAGCUCCUGCUGCACCCCCAGCCUGCUCGCUGGCAGGACAGAGCGAGAAGCUGACAAGUCCUUGGCUUGGUGUAAGCACUGCUCUGCAACAAUUAAACCAUCAUGGUGUUAUCAACAUUCUUCUCAUCCUAAAUCCCAAACACAGCACCCUACCAGUUACUAGGAGGAAAAUUAACUCUAUCCUAGCUGAAACCAGGACAGUCUCUGUCCUGGCCGGGUCCUGCCUGGUAACCUUCCCCUCCACGCUAAGAGAACGGGAGAGGCAGGAUGGAAAAAGGAACACUCCCUGCUGGGGCAGAGAGAGCUAAGAGGUAGGUCUGUACUAAGUGAGGGAGAAGAGCUGGGGUGGAGAUGAUACUCUGCAGAUAUGGGCCACAGCUGCAGAAAUCCCCUGCGUGAUUUGUGCCCCUCUGGCAGUGCUGCAGACACUGGGGGGUGUCCUGGGGGACCUGGAUGGCUGCUCACCUCCUCCAGCUCUGGGCUGUUUAAUUUCUAUCUAGCCCAGCUGGUCUCUGCUGAGUUUGACUCCUGGUGGUUCUGCUCGUCACUGCUGAGGGCCAGUUCCCCAUGGAAAUGAUGGAAGUAGGGCCAGUGGUGAAAGCAAAUCACUGUGUAUUUAGGGCCAGUCUUCCUGGAGUAGGCAUUUGGCUUUCCCAGCUAGGUAUUUUGUAGCAGGUGCUAAAGUAGGUACUUGGUAUCUCUGCCAACCAGAUCCAUGGAUCAAAUACACCCCCCACUAGUCUGUAUUUGGGGUAGUCUCUUGUUUCAACGUCCCUCAGGUCUGUAGGCUUGCAGCUGGCUGCAGGUACCUCCUGUCCUGCCUGGCUGUACCCUUGGCUGGGAGGGAUGGCAAUCAAUGGGCUCCAGCAUCCUCUAGAGACACCCGGGAACCCUGGCCCUGCAUCGUGUCCAUUGCCUGAUGAGCCUGUUGGAGGGCUUCCUCCUGCCCUGGGAGGUUUUGGGCUCCACACAGGUGGUGGUGAGUGAAGAUGAGGCCGUGGAGGUGAUGAGGGGCUGGAGGACAGGAGAGGAGCAGUCAGAGCAGCAGGUCUGUGCAGCCUGGGAGAGGGAAAGGGGGUGUCACUGCUGUCGGCAGCUGCCUGAUGAGACUUUGGAGAGAAGCCGGAGCCGGGCUCUCCUGGGAAGUGCCCAGGAACAGGAUAAGAGGCAGCGGCACAAGAUGCAUCAAGGCAAAUUCCAACUAGAUAUUAGGAAAAAUAUUUCCCCACAAGGGCAGUUGAACUCUGGAGCAGGGCCCAGAGAAGGGGGAGCAAUCUCCAAAUUCGGAAAGCCUCAGCCCUCGGCAGGGCCAGCCCCUGAGCAACUUGCUCGAGGUUGACCCCACUCCAAGCAGGACUGGACCAUGAGGUCUCUUCCUACCUGCAUCGCUGCCUGGUCCUGCAGCCCUCGGGGCACUUGGCAGUGUAACAGCUCACGGUCUGUUGGACUGACGUGGUUGUAGGUACACAGAGGGCUUGGAGGUUUGUUUGUCCAUCCCCUGGCCAUGGCACAGCAAACAGCAGCCCUUCUCCUGGCUUGGUUCACUUCAGCCGUGCAGUACCUGCAGUGCUGGGAACAGAGGUGCUGCAGCAUCACCCAGCUCAUUGCUUUACCCCUACCUAUCUCAGUUGGAGCGCCCUUCUCCCCAGAGCACCGUGCUAUUCCCUCCCUGCUCAAGCAUAAAUAAAAGGCACCAUGGCAGCA
Molecule: long non-coding RNA, 1733 nt
Organism: Anser cygnoides (Swan goose)
Lineage: Eukaryota; Metazoa; Chordata; Aves; Anseriformes; Anatidae
Source: Ensembl